Molecule: transfer RNA, 51 nt
Filed under: Plasteurhynchium striatulum
Lineage: Eukaryota; Viridiplantae; Streptophyta; Bryopsida; Hypnales; Brachytheciaceae
Also listed under: 1 other name
Description: partial tRNA-Phe
Rfam family: tRNA (bases 12-51)
About the family: Transfer RNA (tRNA) molecules are approximately 80 nucleotides in length.
Source: RNAcentral
CAAUAAAGAAAGCCGGAAUAGCUCAGUUGGUAGAGCAGAGGACUGAAAAUC